This 642-nucleotide long non-coding RNA is filed under the name Prunus persica (peach). RNAcentral describes it as "long non-coding RNA (PPER_LNC008357)". Lineage: Eukaryota; Viridiplantae; Streptophyta; Magnoliopsida; Rosales; Rosaceae. The record is from RNAcentral.
GCGGGUCCUGUCAGAGAGAAAGCAGACAUAUUUCACGGAAUGCAUUCAUAUCAAUGUUUAAAAACGCAAGGCACAAGUCUUUCGAGUAAUGGAUAAUUAUACACAAAAUAAUUAUAACCAAGUAAUUCAAGCAAACUAAUCAAUCCUGAAAGUUUUUUUUUAAUGUUUUCUUCCCCAUAUCAUCUUUCCAAUGAUAGUGCUUGUUGAAUUGCUUGUCCUCGCAUGUCUGCUGCAAUUGGAGCUCGGUGGUUUUCGAAUUGUGACUGUUAAUACCCACAAGUCUUUUGUCGUGAAACAUAAGAACAAAAGCAGUGAAGUGAAUAGAUGUCAAAAUCAUUUCCUAACUGAAGGGAAUAGAUGUCAGAUUUCUCUUAUAUAAUAGUAUCCGAGUGAGCUGAGCUCCUCUAAAGCAAUGAAACAUCAGAAGAUAAGUAGCUAAGUGAACAUUUUGUAGUUUGGUACUGAAUUCAUUUGUAAAGAGGGAGUGACGAUAUCGAUGGAGCGUGCACAUUGUGUACAGAAAGUGAUCACGGCCACCGAUGUUGGGAGACUUGUAGUGACCAAGGAAAUGCUUGCUGUGCUGCCUCCUGUCAAUCCAGGUAAUGAUAUCUCAAUCAACGGUUUCGAUAACCAAACCCGCCG